CCUACGGGAGGCAGCAGUGAGGAAUAUUGGUCAAUGGACGCAAGUCUGAACCAGCCAAGUAGCGUGCAGGAUGACGGCCCUCCGGGUUGUAAACUGCUUUUAGUUGGGAAUAAAAGGGGGCUCGUGAGCCCCGUAUUGUAUGUACCAUCAGAAAAGGGACCGGCUAAUUCCGUGCCAGCAGCCGCGGUAAUACGGAAGGUCCGGGCGUUAUCCGGAUUUAUUGGGUUUAAAGGGUGCGCAGGCGGCCUGUUAAGUCAGCGGUAAAAGCCCGGGGCUCAACCCCGGCGAGCCGUUGAAACUGGCGGGCUGGAGUUGGAGAGAAGUACGCGGAAUGCGCGGUGUAGCGGUGAAAUGCUUAGAUAUCGCGCAGAACCCCGAUUGCGAAGGCAGCGUACCGGCUCCACACUGACGCUGAGGCACGAAAGCGUGGGUAUCGAACAGGAUUAGAUACCCCGGUAGUC
RNAcentral lists this ribosomal RNA (461 nucleotides) under uncultured bacterium. Its description in RNAcentral is "partial 16S ribosomal RNA". It matches the Rfam family "Bacterial small subunit ribosomal RNA", at positions 338 to 795 of the family's 1533-position model. The record is from RNAcentral.